RNAcentral lists this ribosomal RNA (370 nucleotides) under uncultured eukaryote. Its description in RNAcentral is "partial 18S ribosomal RNA". It matches the Rfam family "Eukaryotic small subunit ribosomal RNA", at positions 592 to 976 of the family's 1831-position model. The record is from RNAcentral.
CAAUAGCGUAUAUUAAAGUUGUUGCAGUUAAAAAGCUCGUAGUUGGAUUUCUGGUCGGAAGCUCCUGUCCUCUGAUGAGCGUACAAGUGCGUCCUACCAUCCUUCUGUUAACCUUUAAGGCUUUCGCGGCUUUCUAGGGGCUCAGAUAUUUUACCUUGAAAAAAUUAGAGUGUUUCAGGCAGGCUAGCGCCGGAAUACAUUAGCAUGGAAUAAUGGAAUAGGACUUUUGCCUCUUCUGUUGGUCAUGAGGCUCGAGUAAUGAUUAAUAGGGAUAGUUGGGGGCAUUAGUACUUAACUGUCAGAGGUGAAAUUCUCGGAUUUGUUAAAGACUAACUUAUGCGAAAGCAUUUGCCAAGGAUGUUUUCAUUAA